GUGCCAGCCGCCGCGGUAAUACGGAGGGUCCGAGCGUUAUCCGGAAUCAUUGGGUUUAAAGGGUCCGCAGGCGGCCAGAUAAGUCAGUGGUGAAAUUCCGUGGCUCAACCACGGAACUGCCAUUGAUACUGUUUGGCUUGAAUCAGUUCGAGGAUGCCGGAAUGUGUGGUGUAGCGGUGAAAUGCAUAGAUAUCACACAGAACACCAAUUGCGAAGGCAGGUGUCCAGAACUGUAUUGACGCUGAUGGACGAAAGCGUGGGUAGCGAACAGGAUUAGAUACCCUGGUAGUCCACGCCGUAAACGAUGGUCACUAGCUGUCCGGACUUAAGUCUGGGUGGCCAAGCGAAAGUGAUAAGUGACCCACCUGGGGAGUACGUUCGCAAGAAUGAAACUCAAAGGAAUUGACGGGGGCCCGCACAAGCGGUGGAGCAUGUGGUUUAAUUCGAUGAUACGCGAGGAACCUUACCAGGGCUUAAAUGCAUUAUGACAGGGGUGGAGACACCCUUUUCUUCGGACAUUUUGCAAGGUGCUGCAUGGUUGUCGUCAGCUCGUGCCGUGAGGUGUCAGGUUAAGUCCUAUAACGAGCGCAACCCCUGUUGUUAGUUGCCAGCGAGUAAUGUCGGGAACUCUAGCAAGACUGCCGGUGCAAACCGCGAGGAAGGUGGGGAUGACGUCAAAUCAUCACGGCCCUUACGCCCUGGGCCACACACGUGCUACAAUGGCAGGUACAGCAAGCAGCCACAGGGCGACCAGGAGCGAAUCUGUAAAAGCCUGUCACAAUUUCGGAUCGGAGUCUGCAACUCGACUUCGUGAAGCUGGAAUCGCUAGUAAUCGCAUAUCAGCCAUGAUGCGGUGAAUACGUUCCCGGGCCUUGUACACACCGCCCGUCAAACCAUGGAAGCCGGGGUGCCUGAAGAUGGUGACUUUACGGGAGCUAUCUAGGGUAAAACUGGUGACUGGGGUAAGUCGUAACAAGGUAG
RNAcentral lists this ribosomal RNA (981 nucleotides) under uncultured bacterium. RNAcentral's name for it is "bacterial SSU rRNA". It matches the Rfam family "Bacterial small subunit ribosomal RNA", at positions 505 to 1499 of the family's 1533-position model. The record is from RNAcentral.